RNA transcript from Cygnus olor (mute swan), 2288 nucleotides. It is a transcript of the gene named purinergic receptor P2X 1, with no coding region annotated. The record is from RefSeq and is a predicted model, not a curated record. Lineage: Eukaryota; Metazoa; Chordata; Aves; Anseriformes; Anatidae. The transcript is spliced from 12 exons.
CGUCCCCACGCAGAGGAGGAAGCCCGACAGCCCGGCCGAGCACGGAGCAGCCCCGAUAGCAUUUUUAUUAUUAUUUAUAUUUAUUUAUUUUAUCUCUCUGCAAACAGAGGAGCGACGGCGGGCACGGCCCAACCCGCACCGCGGCGAGCAGCGGGGCCGGUGGCGGCACAGCCCCGGUGCAGCCAUGGGGCAGAAAUGCAUGGAGAAGGUGUCCUCCUUCCUCUUCGAGUAUGACACCCCUCGCAUGGUGCUGGUGAGGAACAAGAAGGUGGGACUGACCUUCCGGCUGAUCCAGCUCAUCGUCCUGGCAUACAUCAUCGGGUGGGUUUUCCUCUACGAGAAGGGCUACCAGUCACAGGACAGCAUCGUCAGCUCCGUGUCGGUGAAGCUCAAAGGCCUGACGCUGACCAACGAGAGCGUCUUGGGCCCGCACAUCUGGGACGUGGUGGAUUACGUUUUCCCACCGCAGGGGGACAACUCUUUCGUGGUGAUGACCAACUUCAUUAUCACCCCUGGACAGAAACAAGGAACCUGCCCGGAGCUGCCGGAUGCCGGGCUCUGCACGAGGGACAGUGACUGCAGCAAGGGGACGUACAGCCGUCAGGGACAAGGGCUCAUGACGGGCAGGUGUGUGAAUUUCAACAGCUCGGUGAAGACCUGCGAGAUCUUUGGCUGGUGCCCUGUCGAAGUUGACUACCACGUUCCCAACCCUGCCCUCCUGUCAGAAGCAGAGAAGUUCACCUUGUUCAUCAAGAACAGCAUCACCUUCCCCAGGUUCAAGGUGUCCAGGCGCAACUUGGUGGAGAGCGUUACCAAGCAGUACCUGAAGAAAUGCACGUACCACAAAGUCACCGACUCCCUGUGCCCCGUGUUUGACCUGGGCUACAUGGUGAAGGAAUCGGGUCAGAAUUUCACCGUCCUGGCCGUUAAGGGCGGAGUGGUGGGCAUCACCAUCGACUGGAAUUGCGACCUCGACUGGCCCGUCCGGCACUGCAAGCCCAUUUACCAGUUCCACGGCCUCUACAAUGAUGACAGUAACGUCUCGCCGGGCUUCAACUUCAGGUAUGCCAAAUACUACAAAGAAGAUGGGACAGACAAGAGGACCCUGUACAAGGUGUUUGGGAUCCGGUUUGACAUCCUGGUGAACGGCAAGGCGGGCAAAUUUGACAUCAUCCCCACCAUGACCACGAUCGGCUCUGGAAUUGGUAUUUUUGGAGUGGCCUCUGUGCUCUGCGACCUGCUCCUGCUGCAUUUCCUCCAAGGACGGGACUACUACAAGCAGAAGAAAUUCAAGUACGCGGAACAGGAGCCUGUGAGUACCGGCACAUCCCUCCCUGCCGAAGGCUCUCGGUGGGCGAGUGUGGGUGCGUGCGUGGUGAUGCCAUGCCAGGGACCACGUUCAUGUCGAGGAGUGCCCAGGCACCUUCCCGAGCUGCUGGGAGCCCCAAGCCCCUGGGGCUGUCCGAGGCUGGGAGCUGUGAGUCUCCCCUCCAAAAUUACUUUCUGCAUGACCCGCUGUUUCCUCCCACUGCUCACUUUCCGAGACCAUCCUCAUGACCACGGGAUGUUUCCCGUCCUUUCAUAGGAGGCGGAAACAGGUCCCCCCCAAAUUCAUCUGGGAAUAUGCUCACAUGCUGGGGGUUAGGAGCUGGUGCUUCCCAGCUGCUUGUUCCCCUGCUGUUAGCAGGGGCAGGUCUGUAAAAGAAUUAUCGUUUUCUCUUCUUUAACCCCCAGUCAAAGUCGCAUAAGAAAGGGAAGGAGCUGGACAACACGCAGUGAGAGCAUCCACGCUGACCGACAAACCUGCACCUUCUUCCUCCUCUUCCUCCUCCUCUUCCUCUCCCAAAACACGGUCGUCAUCCCCAGCCCCAGCCCCAAGGCCAGCAGGAGCAGCAUCCAACGCCAGCUCACGUGAACGCAGCACCCUGCAGCCAGGGCAGGAUCUGGCCGGCCCAGUGCCCUGCGUCUGGCAGGGCUUGCUGUGAUGCUGGGGUGGGUGACACCUGCACAGGGCACAGGGGUCCUGCACUUGCUACAGCACCCACAGGACCUCCACCAGCCCUGCCUGGGGUGCCAGGGCCAUGCUGGGGUGUCCUGCACCCCGAGCCCUGCAAGAGAGCAUCGCUGCCUUCCCUUCCCCAGCAGUGCCCCUGAGUGGCUCCAGAUUGAGGAGAGGGGAGUGGAAGGAGAGCUGGCAAAAGCCAUGCGCAGUCCCCAGCAUGGGAAAGAAAGGGUUAUUUUGUGAGAAUGUAUUUUAUUAGAAAAAUAAACCUUUAGUUUUUCUACUA